This 75-nucleotide transfer RNA is filed under the name Actinomycetes bacterium. RNAcentral describes it as "tRNA-Thr". It matches the Rfam family "tRNA". From Rfam's summary of the family: Transfer RNA (tRNA) molecules are approximately 80 nucleotides in length. Their secondary structure includes four short double-helical elements and three loops (D, anti-codon, and T loops). Lineage: Bacteria; Bacillati; Actinomycetota; Actinomycetes. The record is from RNAcentral.
GCCGACGUAGCUCAACGGUAGAGCAAUCGCCUUGUAAGCGAUAGGUUGUGGGUUCGAUCCCCUCCGUCGGCUCCA